AAAGCAUUUGUUCCUCAUGCAACAUCUUGGUAUUGUAUAGUCUUUGUUAAUACUCAAUAAAAAUGUUGGCUAUGUCAGCAGUAGUUUGAAACUUAAAGCUCCUUCUGAAGAUUUUUUUACAUUAGUUAAAAUUUAUUUUGAUAUAUUUAAUCGGCAUUUCGAGACAAAGUCUCACAAAUUCAAUUUAAAAAGAAGCAUAGUCCAAAAAUGUAUAAUUUUAACGUCAAAAAUAGAUAAAUAUGCAGACUGGUGUAAAUUUUCCGAUCCGUGCUUUGUACACCGAAAUCAUCUGCUCAAUCAUGUUGCAUGCGAAGAUAUCGAUAGGUGAUACCCCAUAGAAGCGGUGAGGAGGAAAGAAGUUUGAACAGAGUGGCAAGGCCAAAAUUGAAGGGGAAAAGGUUAGCGAAGAGUGGCGCCACCUGGUCCUGGAGAGUGAGAGUUCCGCGCUCUCCGGAGCCGUUAUGAGAGAAGAUUUCCGAUCUCAUCCCAUAACGGAGUCCCGAAGCCAACUCACCCAUACCCCAAAGAAAAGAGAGCCGCCAGCAGACCGAAUCAGGCCAUGCCCUGAACCUAGUUCAAGGGCGAUAGAAGAGAGAGCGAUGGGGAUCAGCGGCCCGGGAACAUUAAACAGAGCAGCUAAGCCAAGAGGGGGUUCAGAGAAAGAAAUUCCCGCAACGGAGGAGCAUGCGCGCCGGACAUAGUGAUAUAGUGAUUUUUUUUGUUCUGAAAGAAAAAGGGAUCCAGAUCAGUGAGAGACCAGGAACCAGGACUAGCGGGACGGGAAAGAGACCCAAGAAGCAUAAGAGGAAUAGUUCACAGCUCCGCCAACCUGGCUUGCUUUUUGCUGGGCUCGAAGACACAAUCCUGGCCACGAAGAGCGGGUCCCUCGCCCAUUUAGGGAGAGCAAAAAAAAAGCAUCAAUCAACAUAUUUACUCCCAUUAUUUAUUUUUGUUAGACGUCUCCAUUUAUAUGUACAUAUAUGUUAAUCCCCUAAUU
Long non-coding RNA from Drosophila miranda, 997 nucleotides. RefSeq lists it as uncharacterized. The transcript is spliced from 3 exons. NCBI's taxonomy places the organism in Eukaryota, Metazoa, Arthropoda, Insecta, Diptera, Drosophilidae. The record is from RefSeq and is a predicted model, not a curated record.